GCGCGUNGCGGCNAGUCNGAUGUGAAAGCCCGGGGCUCAACCCCGGUACUGCAUUGGAAACUGUCGUACUUGAGUAUCGGAGAGGUAAGUGGAAUUCCUAGUGUAGCGGUGAAAUGCGUAGAUAUUAGGAGGAACACCAGUGGCGAAGGCGGCUUACUGGACGAUAACUGACGCUGAGGCUCGAAAGCGUGGGGAGCAAACAGGAUUAGAUACCCUGGUAGUCCACGCCGUAAACGAUGAGUACUAGGUGUCGGGGGACAUAGUCCUUCGGUGCCGCAGCAAACGCAAUAAGUAUUCCACCUGGGGAGU
Molecule: ribosomal RNA, 309 nt
Filed under: uncultured bacterium
Lineage: Bacteria
Description: bacterial SSU rRNA
Rfam family: Bacterial small subunit ribosomal RNA
Source: RNAcentral